RNAcentral lists this ribosomal RNA (256 nucleotides) under uncultured bacterium. Its description in RNAcentral is "partial 16S ribosomal RNA". It matches the Rfam family "Bacterial small subunit ribosomal RNA", at positions 521 to 776 of the family's 1533-position model. The record is from RNAcentral.
UAAUACGUAGGGUGCGAGCGUUGUCCGGAAUUACUGGGCGUAAAGAGCUCGUAGGCGGUUUGUCACGUCGUCUGUGAAAUCCCUCGGCUUAACCGGGGGCGUGCAGGCGAUACGGGCAGACUUGAGUACUACAGGGGAGACUGGAAUUCCUGGUGUAGCGGUGAAAUGCGCAGAUAUCAGGAGGAACACCGGUGGCGAAGGCGGGUCUCUGGGUAGUAACUGACGCUGAGGAGCGAAAGCAUGGGUAGCGAACAGG